UAUAUUCGUGAUGGCUUUAAAAGGUAUCAAAUCAAAAUCAAAAUUACCAGAAAAAUAUAGGUAAAAUUCAUGAUAAAAUGCAUCAGAAUGCAGCUUUCAAGUAGCUAACAACUUCGACUAAUUAACAACUCUAGCCAACAACUAACGAAAUAAUAAGUAAAGUAAACAGUUAUCUAUAAGAAAUAUGAAGGAUAUACAUAUAAACUAUGUAAAAAUUCAAUAUACAGAUAUACAUAUAAACUAUGUAAAAAUCUAAUAUACAGAUAUACAUAUAAACUAUGUAAAAAUCUAAUAUACAGAUAUACAUAUAAACUAUGUAAAAAUCAAAUAUACAUGUUAAUUUAGUUUAUUAAUUAUAAUAUUAUAAUGGGAAAUAUAUAAUUGAUCCUGGAGUAUAGAAUAAGAGAGCAUAUCCGCCGAAUUUAAGCAUAUAAUUAAGCGGAAGAAAAGAAAAUAACAAUGAUUCCUUUAGUAACGGCGAGUGAACGAGGAAGAGCUCAAAAGGAAAAUCCGCUUCAUGGUGAAAACUAUGAUGUGGAAUUGUCUGGUUAGGGUUUAUUUAUUCCUCCCUAUGCUUUGUUGGGUACGAAAUUAGUAGGAAUACUAUUCCAUAGAGGGUGAAAGGCCCGUAGUUCCCUACAAUUAUAGAUGGAGAUUACUCCCUGUAGAGUAGUGUUCUUUGAGAUUGGAGCGCAAAUUCGUGUGAUAUAUUUCACAUAAAGCUAAAUAUUUGUAGGAGACCGAUAGCAAACAAGUACCGUGAGGGAAAGAUGAAAUAGCACUCAGGAAUGAGAUUUAAAUAGUACCUGAAAUCGUUAAGGUGGAACGGAUUGAGAGAUAUAUAACGUAAGAUAUAAUUAAAUGCUAGUCGGCGGGCUUAGCUUUAAGAGGAAGGAAAAUUAUCUAUCUUAUUAAAAUAAGCAGGAGUGAACUUUUAGGAUAAUUAAAAUAUGGCCAAGUAUUCUUUAUAAUCAUAGUAUGAUUAAUAAAGUUUUCGUAUCAUUCCGCUAAAGGUUUAUGCGAGCUAUUUUGAUAUAUCCAGUUUACUGAGGUGUAAUAAAAUUUGUAGGAGUGACGUCCAUACAUAUUUAAGUUGCUUUUAAAAACUAUUUCUCAACCCACCCGUCUUGAAACACGGACCAAGGAGUCUAACAAAUGUGCGAGCGUAUAUAUAUAUGUUUUAAAUAUACUAUAAAGAAAUUAUACUUUAUAAUUACGCAUAAUUAAUGUGACCAUUUUUGGCUUAAAUGGAUGUAGAUUAUACUGAAAUUAAAUAAUAUUUAAUUUCAUUUGAAGUAUAUGCAUACAAUGCCUGUUAGCAAUUAUGCUAAAUUGAGUAAGAGUAUAUUUGUUAGGACCCGAGAGGCUUUGAACUAAGCGUGGUGAGAUUGAAGUCAAAUUUUUUUGAUGGAGGAUCGAAUUGGUACUGACGUGCAAAUCGUUCAUUUCAAUCACGUUUAGGGGCGAAAGACUAAUCGAAAAGCCUAUUAGCUGGUUAUUUUCGAAAGAUCUCUCAGGAUCGCUGGAGUUGAUUAAUAUAAUUUUAUGAGGUAGAGAUAAAGAUUAGAGGAAUCAGGGAAAUAUGUAUCCUUGACCCUAUUCUAGAUCUUACAAUACGUAACAAGGGAUUAAUAUCUUAACUGUAUUUUUUCCACUUAUAAAUAAAAUAACUCCAAGUGGGCCAUUUUUGGUAAGCAGAACUGGCGAUGAGGGAUGAUCCUAACGCUUGGAUAAGGUGCCUAAAUAUUCGUUAAUAGAUACCGUUAAAGGUGUUGGUUCGUAUUGACACUAGGACGGUCUUCAUAGAAGUCGAAAUCCGCUAAGGAGUGUGUAACAACUCACCUACCGAAUGAACUAGCCCUGAAAAUGGAUGGCGCUAAAACGGAUUACCGAUACCGAGCCAUAGAAAGAGACCAAACUAGAAGAUUUACGCCCUUAGUAGUUUCUUAAAUCUUUCUAUGAGUAGAAAAUCGUGGGGUUUGUGUAGAAGCAAUAUGCGUGAGCUAUUGUGGAACAUAUCCCUAGUGCAGAUCUUGGUGGAAGUAGCAAUAUUCAAAUGAGAACUUUGAAGACUGAAGUGGAGAAGGGUUUCUUGCCAACUACAAUUGUACAAGAGUUAGCCGCUCCUAAGGGAAAGCUGAAAAGCAUUUAAAUGGGGAUUUGGUGCUUCAAGCAAUUGUUGCAUUUUUUCUCUGUCCCAAAAGGGAAACAGGCUAAUAUUCCUGUGCCUAUGUCAAUGUUAUGUAUAGAUGAUGGUAACAUAAUUAGAGUGAACUUCUUAACGUAGGUUUUUCUGCCGACAUGCGUUAUCUUUGCAUGUUAACUCUUAGACGAACCUUGGAAUCAAUUUAAUUGGAGAAGAGGUCUGUUUAAUUCCAAUUCAGAAGGUUUUUAAGUGUGAAUUAUUUUAUAAUUCUCAUUUAAAAAAGUUCUGUUUUGUAGCAAUAGUAAUUCGAAUUUGGAUUAUCGGUAUGUGAAAACUACCCUUGAAAAAAGAGGGGAACAGCUAUAUGUAAUGGGUAUAUUUUGAAUUUUCAAGAGAGAUGUAUAUUAAACUGUAAUGGUUUGUAAUUAAGCCUACAAAUAUUGCAAUUUGUAUAUAAUUGCUUUUAAAUGAUGAAUAUAUUACAUUAUGAUAGCAUAUAUAACGACAACACAUAGAGCGUACCCACAACCGCAUCAGGUCUCCUAGGUUAGUAGCCUCUGGUUAAAUAGAAAAAUGUAAGUAAGGGAAGUAAGCAAAAUGGAUCCGUAACUUCGGAAAAAGGAUUGGCUCUGAGGGCAUAGAGUAAAUAUUUUUAAUUAAGAUUUGAAAAUGUAAUGUAAAAGUUAUGGCGUAUGCGCUAUAUGCGUUUACAUUAUUUACUUUCUAUGAUUUUUUAUUUAAUAGUUAUUCGGAACCAUAUAAAGUCCCUAUACUGUGACUCUUUAUCAUGGGUAGGCCCUUUAUAUGAGGAAAUCAUGCCAACUCAGAACUGAAACGGACAAGGGGAACCCGACUGUUUAAUAAAAACAUAGCAUUGUGAAAGCCAGAAAUGGUAUUAACACAAUGUGAUUUCUGCCCAGUGCUUUGAAUGUCAAGUUGAUGAAAUUCAAUUAAGCACAGGUGAACGGCGGGAACUAUAACUCUCUCUCUCUUAAGGUAUCCUAUUGCUCGUCAUGAUUUUGUGACGAGACGGAUGGAUUAACGAGGUUCCCACUGUCCCUACUUGCAAUCUAGCGAAACCACAACCAAGGGAACGGGCUUGGUAAAAUCAGCGGGGAAAGAAGACCCUGUUGUGCUUUACUCUAGUCUGGCUUUGUGAAACGACUUAAGAGGUGCAGAAUAAGUGGAAGCCGAGAUUGAAAUAUAUUUUUGCGACAAUGAGAUACCACUACUUUUAAAGUUGUUUUACUUAUCUAUUUACUAGGAUACUAUAUACAUACUAAUUACUGUGUUGAAAGAUAACGCAAAGUUAUCUUAUUAUCCUACACCCAGGUAUAUAGAGACAUAGCCAGGUGGGGAGUUUAACUGGGGCGGUAUAUCUGUCAAAUAAUAAUGCAGAUGUCCAAAGACAAGCUCAAAGAGAACAGAAAUCUCUUGUAGACUAAAAGGGGAAAAGCUUGUUUGAUUUCUAUUUUCAGAAAAAGUAGAAAACGUGAAAGCGUGGCCUAUCGAUCCUUUAUUAUUGCAAAAUUACAAGACUUGUUCUUUACUAUGCAUAUAGAGGUGACUGAAAAGUUACCACAGGGAUAACUGGCUUGUGGCUGCUAAGCGUUCCUAGCGACGUGGCUUUAUGAUAUUCGAUAUCGGCUCUUCCUAUCAUUGGGACGCAGAAGUCCCAAAGUGUCGGAUUGUUCACCCGCUAAUAGGGAACGUGAGCUGGAUUUAGACCGUCGUGAGACAGGUUAGUUUUACCCUACUGAUGAAUUUUAUUAUUUUAAUAUAUAAUAUAUUGUGACAGUAAUCCAACUUGGUACGAGAGGAUUAGUUGGUUCAGACAAUUGGUACAGCGAUUGGUUGACAAACCAUUGUCGCGAAGCUACGUCUGUUGGAUAAUGGCUGAACGCCUCUUAAGCCAGAACCCAUGCUGAUUAAACAAUAUUAUUCGCUCUUUUUUGUGACCUUUUACUACUUAAAUGUAAGAGAGAAAAUAUAUGUAUUCAUUACCAAUAUAUGGUUGAAUAUAACUAUUCCUAUGGUUCAUAAGGACGCAAAUACGUUUCCUAUUGGACAAAAGAAAUUUAACAACAAAAAAGAUAUACACAAAUUGUUGACGACUUUUAUAUCUGAAGGUGCUGUAAAUAUGAAAGAAAACCCUGCUUUACGAUCUGUUGAGGCUUACCCUUCUUGAUAAAGUGUAAUUUUUAUAAAAACCAAAUUUUAAUAUAAUAUAAAAUGAUUAUUUUAUGCUGUAUAUUAAUGUAUGCAACAUAACAUAAUUAUUUUAUAUUAUAUCUUACAAUUUUAAAAAUCAAACUUUUACAUUUCUGAUGAUUGCAAUUAUAUGACAUGUGUGUUUUAAAUCCUUAUUUCUUCUUAUUUUAUAUAUGCCUUUUUAUUAUUAUGUGUUUUGGACUUGGACUUAGGCUUUUUGUAGUUAAUAUGUGCAAAUGUUUUUAACUUAACAUUUGUAUGGAUUCUUAAUUAAGCCUAAGCCCUUAACAAUUUUUAAAAUCAAACUUUUACAUUUCUGAUUAUUGCAAUCACGUGAUAUUUUUUCUUAUUUUUAUAUAUGCCUUUUUAUUAUUAUGUGUUUUGAGCUUUGAACUUAGCCUUUUUGCAUAAUAAUAAUAUACACCUUUUUGAACUUAAGAUUUUUAAUAUAAAUAUAUAAAACCAUUAAUAAUUAUAUAAAUAUUAGUGUCCAAAAAAUGCGGCCGAUAUUAUCGCCAUAUGUCAUGUGAUAGUUUAUUUGAAAAGCACAUAUUUAUGUUCUUACAACAAUAUGAAUUUUUGAAAAAGGCAGGAAACUAGUAUAUUAUUUAUUAGCUAUAUAACAAUAUGACGAAAUUUAUUCAAGUAUUAAUUUUGUAUACUUUCGAAUGGUCAAUCAAUGGAUAACUUAUAGUAAAUUGAUAAAAACAUGUAUGUAAUAUUAUAGUUUAUCCCAAAAUCGUAAUUUUCACAUACUUAUAUAUUUUGAGGAUAUUAUAAGAGAAGUUCAUAGAGGGGAAAUAACUUACACAUGUAGAACUUGGUAAUAUUAUUAAAUAAUAUGCUUUAUUAAAGAGUUAAAAAUAUUUGCAAAUGUAUAUUUAUAAUUUAAUUAUAUAUAACAUGAAGUUGUAAUGUUUUGACAUAAAAUUUUAAUUAUAGUUAAUUCUUUGGAAUAAUUUCUUGUCUUAUUUUACAUGACUUUUAACAAUAUAAAAUGAAAAUAUUAUUAUAUUAGACUGUAAUAUAUUAUAAUACUUUUUAGGUAUCAUAUUAUUUUACUGUGUAAAAUUAAUAAGGUAAUUUUAUGAGCAUGUUAUGAAAAUUAGUUGUAUAAAUGAAAUAAUAAAAUUAGUUGUAUAAAUGAAAUAAUAAAAUUAGUUGUAUAAAUGAAAUAAUAAAAUUAGUUUGUAUGUAUUAAUUAUAAUAUUUAUUAAGUAUUAUACUAUAAUUUUUUUAUGAUGUAGACUUUGUAUAUUUAUACAAUAAAGUAUGUUUAUAAUAUGAGCAAGCAAUUGUGGGGGCAUGUUUAACACUAUUACUACUAAUUAUUAUAUAUUUGUGUAUUUUUUGGGGUCGUAUAAAUGUAUUGUAAAUAAUUAUAUUUUUCAAUUACAUUUAUGGAUAUCAUAUUGGUUAUUCAUUUAAAUUGUCAAAAUAAUAUAAUUAAUUUUAACUUAUUAUUUAAGUUCAAGUUGUAUUAUUUAUACAAUUUAUUGGCACUAACAAAUAUGGUAUAGGAAAUUAUAAAUGGGAGUUCAUUUGAAUAUGAAUAAACCAUAAUAAUGUAUGUGUGUUUUUAAUUAUUUUAUGUGUAAACAAUUUUUUAUAUAGUUAAGAAUCUUUAAUUGUUCAAAAAAAAAUCAACAGUAAUUUAGUAUAACAUAACAACUUAUUAAUCAUAUGUGAAUCGAAUAAAAUGUGGCACGCCACAAAAAAAUAGUAAUAUAAAUACAACAAGUUAAAAAUAUAAUAAAUAAAACGUAUUUUAAAAUUCCCAUGCAUAUACAGGCACAAAAAAUAUAUGCUAUAAAUUACAUAAAAAACUUAAUGUGUUGAAUGAAUAGGUUAUUGACUCUAUAGUUGUAUGCAUUAUAAGCAGCUAAAACAAGACGAAAAUAUAUCGAAUUAUGUUUUGUGAAUAAACGAAAAAAAUUUAACUAUAAUAUAUAUUGCUAUAUAUUAUAUAUAUAUAUUUAAUUUGUUUAUACAUAAAUAGCAUUAUGAAUAUAUCGUUGGUACAACAAAAUAUUGUUAAAAUUUAUGCAUUCGAUUUUGUUUGAUAUGGAUAUUAUUUCCAUACUUCGAACUGUUUAGAUUUGUAAAUUUGUCAUUUCUCAUUUUAUUUUUUAUAAUAUCAUCUCUUGUUGGACUAUUUCUAUGUGAAUAAUAAUUUUUAUAGUUUUUAUUAAUUAAUUUUUUAUUUGAAUAAGUAUGAAAAUGGCCGUUUCUGUUAUAAUUAUUAUUGUUCAUGUUAUGCUUUUCUCCAUUUCCAUAAUAAUAAUCAUGAUUUUUAUAUUUUUUAUAAUGAUAUUCAUCAUCAUUAUAAUUUUCAUUGUAUUUAUUUUUAUAAUAAUUUUCAGGGUGAUAAAAAGGUUUUUUACCGCCACUUUUUGAAUAAUGUUCUUUUUCGUACUUGUUAUAAUCUUGAUAUUUUUUUUCAUAGUCAUUAAUGUCUCCAUUAUCCCGUUCACUAUUUCGUUCAUGUUGUUCAUUUUUUUCAUCAUUAUUUUUUUCAGUAUCAUGUUUUUCUCCGUUGUAUUUAUUAAGUUCAUCUUUAUUAUUGUUAGGGUUAGGAUUAUCGGUAAGGUGGCCAUUGUAAUUAUCUUCAUUGCUAUUUUUACUCUUUAAGUUAUCUUCAAUUUUAUAUGUUUUAUUUGUAUUAAUUUUUUCUUCUGAAUUGGGAGGUGACGUAGUAUUAUUGGAAAUUAAUUUUUCGUCAUCGUUCUUGAUUUUUUUUUCGUACUUAUUUAUAUGCCUAUUACUACUGGUAUAUUUAUUUGGGUAUUUCUCAUAAUUAUGUAUAUAUUUAUUAUCAUAAUUAUUUCCACUUCUUUCAUAUCUAUAAUGCUCAUUUCUAUCAUAUCGACGAUCUUCAUUCCUACUAUUAUACUUAUGAUAUUCAUGCCUGUCAUAUUUAUUACUAUUAUUGUUGCUAUGAUUAUAUUUGUCAUAUCUGUUAUGCUCAUAUUUAGUGUUAUGUUUUUCAUAUUCUCCAUACUUAUAUUUAUUUUCAUUUUGAUGUUCAUACUUAAAAUCAAGUUUUUUGCUAAAUCGUUUAUUCAUUUUAUCUUGUUCAUUAUUACUGUGUCGAUCGUAUUUAUCUGAGUGAUGUGAAUUAUUAUUUUUAUUGAAUUGAUCGUGUUGGUUAUUAAAAUUGCUUUCUUUUUCAUCAUUAUCGUGAUUAUUGGUUUUAUAAUUGGUACUAUCAUAUGAUUUAUAUCUAUUUUCUUUAUGUCUUCUUUCUGAUUCAAUACUCUUAUUAUUUCUGUGUAUUUUAUUGU
This 7641-nucleotide ribosomal RNA is filed under the name Plasmodium vinckei vinckei. RNAcentral's name for it is "28S ribosomal RNA". The stretch from base 390 to 4344 matches the Rfam family "Eukaryotic large subunit ribosomal RNA". The record is from RNAcentral. Lineage: Eukaryota; Apicomplexa; Aconoidasida; Haemosporida; Plasmodiidae.